GGUGGUUCUCGGGUGGCAUACCCUAGAAUUGGGCUCCUUUCUCUCUGGUUCUGGGCACAUCACCUAAGAACCGCA
Non-coding RNA from Myotis davidii, 75 nucleotides. Lineage: Eukaryota; Metazoa; Chordata; Mammalia; Chiroptera; Vespertilionidae. The record is from Rfam.